AGUGAACGCUGGCGGUAGGCCUAACACAUGCAAGUCGAACGGCAGCACAGUAAGAGCUUGCUCUUACGGGUGGCGAGUGGCGGACGGGUGAGGAAUACAUCGGAAUCUACUUUUUCGGGGGGGAUAACGUAGGGAAACUUACGCUAAUACCGCAUACGACCUACGGGUGAAAGCAGGGGAUCUUCGGACCUUGCGCGAUUGAAUGAGCCGAUGUCGGAUUAGCUAGUUGGCGGGGUAAAGGACCACCAAGGCGACGAUCCGUAGCUGGUCUGAGAGGAUGAUCAGCCACACUGGAACUGAGACACGGUCCAGACUCCUACGGGAGGCAGCAGUGGGGAAUAUUGGACAAUGGGCGCAAGCCUGAUCCAGCCAUACCGCGUGGGUGAAGAAGGCCUUCGGGUUGUAAAGCCCUUUUGUUGGGAAAGAAAAGCAGCAGGUUAAUACCCCGCUGUUCUGACGGUACCCAAAGAAUAAGCACCGGCUAACUUCGUG
Molecule: ribosomal RNA, 492 nt
Filed under: uncultured bacterium
Lineage: Bacteria
Description: partial 16S ribosomal RNA
Rfam family: Bacterial small subunit ribosomal RNA
Source: RNAcentral